Molecule: ribosomal RNA, 467 nt
Filed under: uncultured bacterium
Lineage: Bacteria
Description: partial 16S ribosomal RNA
Rfam family: Bacterial small subunit ribosomal RNA
Source: RNAcentral
GGCGAACGCUGGCGGCGUGCUUAACACAUGCAAGUCGAACGGAAAGGCCCUGCUUUUGUGGGGUGCUCGAGUGGCGAACGGGUGAGUAACACGUGAGUAACCUGCCCUUGACUUUGGGAUAACUUCAGGAAACUGGGGCUAAUACCGGAUAGGAGCUCCUGCUGCAUGGUGGGGGUUGGAAAGUUUCGGCGGUUGGGGAUGGACUCGCGGCUUAUCAGCUUGUUGGUGGGGUAGUGGCUUACCAAGGCUUUGACGGGUAGCCGGCCUGAGAGGGUGACCGGCCACAUGGGGACUGAGAUACGGCCCAGACUCCUACGGGAGGCAGCAGUGGGGAAUAUUGCACAAUGGGCGGAAGCCUGAUGCAGCAACGCCGCGUGCGGGAUGACGGCCUUCGGGUUGUAAACCGCUUUCGCCUGUGACGAAGCGUGAGUGACGGUAAUGGGUAAAGAAGCACCGGCUAACUACGU